CCACAAAGCUUAAAGAGUCAAAAGCAGCAAGAAGUACAUCUGCACCUGAAAGAUCUAAUGUGGCCAUGUGUAUGGAUGACUGUGCUCUCACAUGGGAGGGCUCAGACGAUUGUGGAGAAACAGAUAAUAUACUGCUGUCGCAAUUAUGACUGACAACGGGAGAUCCUUCCUUGAAAUCACAAACAUUUUUGCCUACCGAUAUCUCAGUAAGCAUAUUACUGAUUUACCAGAUUUGUCUGAUAAAAUUAGAAAUCUCAGCAUCAAUAACAAUACAACAAUGUCCUAGAAGUAGAACCUGGAGUCAUGAAAGACUCUUUCCAAAGAAAUUCAUGGCAGCAACAUCUGAUCCUGGCAAAUAAAAAGAUAAAGAUAAUGAUAUGGAACCCACAGCUAGAAAACCCCAAUUUAUAGGAACACUUUGACCGAUGAAAAUAUACUAACUGGAGAAAUCCACAGCUUCAACAUCGGGAAACUAAUUAAAGAAUCGUAUUUUUACAAUAACAUGUAGUAAAACUGUAAAAGUUUCCCCAACUCUUAUGUUUAAUGCAACUCAUGGUAUACAUGAAUUAAUACAUAGAAAUACUUUAACCACUGAAAGUAUACUAACUGGAGAAAUUCACAGCUUCAACAUCUGGAAACUAAUUAAAGAAUCGUAUAUUUACAAUAACAUGUAGUAAAACUGUAUAAGUUUCCCCAACUCUUAUGUUUAAUGCCUCUCAUGGUAUACAUGACUUAAUACAUAGAAACACUUUGAUCAAUGGAAAUAUACGAACUGGAGAAAUUCACAGCUUCAACAUGUGGAAACUAAUUAAAGAAUCGUAUUUUUACAAUAACAUGUAGCAGAACGGUAUAAGUUCCCCCUACUCUUAUGUUUAAUGCCUUUCAAUUAAUACAUAAAAUGCACGGAAUAUAAGGAGGAGAGAAACUGAGGAAUAAUUGAUGCAUGAAAGAUAUGUAUAACUCAGCGAAGAUGAUUUAUCUACAAUGCAAACAAGACUAAAAUUGUCUAUGAUGUAAAUAAUACUAGAAUAUCCCUUGUUUGGGCUCCAUUUUAAAGGAAAUUUGAGGGAAUGAGUUCUGGAAUGGAUUUUUUUUUUUUUUUUUUGGGGAAUGUGUGGUUAAAAAAUAAAAAAAAGUUUUCGAUUUACAUGUAAUAUUAUUUUAUGGGAGAAUGUGUGGUCGAAAAUGAGUUCUUGGAAAAAUGGGGGCCAAAUAUAGGCCUACUUUAACUGCUAAACAGUGAAACAGCUGCUAAAGAGUGAAACAGCCAACUCAAAAAGUACCAAUAAAUAUGUUAAUUUUGCUAAGAGCCACAAUGUUUGGCUAAUCCUGAAAAGAAUUCAAAAUACUUUUAAGCUUCUCUUUACAUAACAUAAUUUUCAAUAAAACGAACUUUUAAGCUCAGUGAAACAUGCUCAUAACAUGAUCAGAAAAGGAUGUGGCCAAAUUGUAGUCUUCCUUUCAAUGCUACUUGCAUUGUUUUUCAGAAGGAAUUCUCAAAAGACAAUAAUUGGAUGGCAUUUACUUGUAUAACCGUCCUUAAUGUGUAACGAAAUAAAUAAAACCACAUAGAAAACAGCAGACAAAUAAACAUACAUUGCACACACACAUACUUUAUGUGGAAAAACAAUUCAAAAAACAUAGAAAAAUUAAAAAGACAAAAAAAAAAAAAUCUAAUUUCGAGGUUAACAGACGUUAAUACAAACAAACACGAGGCCCCAUUGAGAAACCCAAAAACCCUAUCCAGAAACCCUAAUUUAAGAACUUAAAAUCCCAAUGCCGAUUCCUACAUACACACUUGGUGAAAAUUUAUUACAAACCGUAGAAACAGAUUGAAGCAGAGUCCAUACCUGAAGAAAAAUCGGAAGAAACUAAAAUGCCUAAAAAAGGAACCAAAUUGUUUAUAGAUAAAAAGAACAUAAAAUACAUCGCACGUGUAGUUAUGUAUGCAUAAAUUUAUCUGUUGGUAUGCUUUUACAGAGAGGUCGCUUGGCGGUAUCGGGAGGGAGCCCGAUGUAAACAUGAAGGUUUUAUCUUGUUGACGCACCCGCGAGAUCAACGUACAACGUUGUUAAUGUAAAGUACCAGUUGGUAAGAGAUUUGUCCGCACUUGAACUGCGUGAUGGAUGGCUGACACGUGUAUUUUUGGAAUUCUGAUUUCUGAGGGUUAAUUAUUUUUUGGAAAACUGAGUCGGGAUCCCUAAUCUUUUCAAAAUGACCAAAU
This 2224-nucleotide long non-coding RNA is filed under the name Olea europaea (common olive). RNAcentral's name for it is "long non-coding RNA (OEUR_LNC002931)". The record is from RNAcentral. Lineage: Eukaryota; Viridiplantae; Streptophyta; Magnoliopsida; Lamiales; Oleaceae.